RNAcentral lists this ribosomal RNA (253 nucleotides) under uncultured bacterium. RNAcentral's name for it is "partial 16S ribosomal RNA". It matches the Rfam family "Bacterial small subunit ribosomal RNA", at positions 524 to 776 of the family's 1533-position model. The record is from RNAcentral.
UACGUAGGGGGCUAGCGUUGUCCGGAUUUACUGGGUUUAAAGGGUGCGCAGGCGGAUAUGUAAGUCAGUGGUGAAAUCUUCCCGCUUAACGGGAAAACUGCCAUUGAUACUAUAUAUCUUGAAUGCUGUGGAGGUAAGCAGAAUAUGUCAUGUAGCGGUGAAAUGCUUAGAGAUGACAUAGAAUACCUAUUGCGAAGGCAGCUUACUACGCAGAUAUUGACGCUCAUGCACGAAAGCGUGGGGAUCAAACAGG